RNAcentral lists this ribosomal RNA (483 nucleotides) under uncultured bacterium. RNAcentral's name for it is "partial 16S ribosomal RNA". It matches the Rfam family "Bacterial small subunit ribosomal RNA", at positions 30 to 506 of the family's 1533-position model. The record is from RNAcentral.
AUUGAACGCUGGCGGCAGGCCUAACACAUGCAAGUCGAGCGGAUGAAGGGAGCUUGCUCCUGGAUUCAGCGGCGGACGGGUGAGUAAUGCCUAGGAAUCUGCCUGGUAGUGGGGGAUAACGUCCGGAAACGGGCGCUAAUACCGCAUACGUCCUGAGGGAGAAAGUGGGGGAUCUUCGGACCUCACGCUAUCAGAUGAGCCUAGGUCGGAUUAGCUAGUUGGUGGGGUAAAGGCCUACCAAGGCGACGAUCCGUAACUGGUCUGAGAGGAGGAUCAGUCACACUGGAACUGAGACACGGUCCAGACUCCUACGGGAGGCAGCAGUGGGGAAUAUUGGACAAUGGGCGAAAGCCUGAUCCAGCCAUGCCGCGUGUGUGAAGAAGGUCUUCGGAUUGUAAAGCACUUUAAGUUGGGAGGAAGGGCAGUAAGUUAAUACCUUGCUGUUUUGACGUUACCAACAGAAUAAGCACCGGCUAACUUCGU